GUGCCAGCAGCCGCGGUAAUACGAAGGGGGCUAGCGUUGUUCGGAAUCACUGGGCGUAAAGCGCACGUAGGCGGAUGUGCCAGUCAGGGGUGAAAUCCCGGAGCUCAACUUCGGAACUGCCUCUGAUACAGCACGUCUUGAGUCCGGAAGAGGUGGGUGGAAUUCCUAGUGUAGAGGUGAAAUUCGUAGAUAUUAGGAAGAACACCGGUGGCGAAGGCGGCCCACUGGUCCGGUACUGACGCUGAGGUGCGAAAGCGUGGGGAGCAAACAGGAUUAGAAACCCCCGUAGUCC
Molecule: ribosomal RNA, 292 nt
Filed under: uncultured bacterium
Lineage: Bacteria
Description: partial 16S ribosomal RNA
Rfam family: Bacterial small subunit ribosomal RNA
Source: RNAcentral